This 497-nucleotide ribosomal RNA is filed under the name uncultured bacterium. RNAcentral's name for it is "partial 16S ribosomal RNA". It matches the Rfam family "Bacterial small subunit ribosomal RNA", at positions 28 to 507 of the family's 1533-position model. The record is from RNAcentral.
GAUGAACGCUGGCGGCGUGCCUAAUACAUGCAAGUCGAGCGAACGGACGAGAAGCUUGCUUCUCUGAUGUUAGCGGCGGACGGGUGAGUAACACGUGGAUAACCUACCUAUAAGACUGGGAUAACUUCGGGAAACCGGAGCUAAUACCGGAUAAUAUUUUGAACCGCAUGGUUCAAAAGUGAAAGACGGUCUUGCUGUCACUUAUAGAUGGAUCCGCGCUGCAUUAGCUAGUUGGUAAGGUAACGGCUUACCAAGGCAACGAUGCGUAGCCGACCUGAGAGGGUGAGCGGGCACACUGGAACUGAGACACGGUCACGACUCCUACGGGAGGCAGCAGUAGGGAAUAUGGGGCAAUGGGCGAAAGCCUGACAGAGCAACGCCGCGUGAGUGAAGAAGGUCUUCGGAUCGUAAAACUCUGUAAUUAGGGAAGAACAAAUGUGUAAGUAAAUAUGCACGUCUUGACGGUACCUAAACAGAAAGCCACGGCUAACUACGUG